RNAcentral lists this small RNA (150 nucleotides) under Pseudomonas sp. HPB0071. RNAcentral's name for it is "Pseudomonas sRNA P11". It matches the Rfam family "Pseudomonas sRNA P11". From Rfam's summary of the family: P11 is located between a putative threonine protein kinase and putative nitrate reductase and appears to be conserved in several Pseudomonas species. P11 has a predicted Rho independent terminator at the 3'end but the function of P11 is unknown. Lineage: Bacteria; Pseudomonadati; Pseudomonadota; Gammaproteobacteria; Pseudomonadales; Pseudomonadaceae. The record is from Rfam by way of RNAcentral.
CAGUUACAUUCUUGGCACGUCCCCUGCUUAGUUUCUAGGCAGACAUCAAGCGCAGCCUUCAACGGCGAACGGCAGCGCUCCCCCGACAGGCCUAUGCAGGCCGAUAACGGGACCGGACAAAGGCGUCCUCGCAUUCAUGUGCGGGACGCC